AACAAGGUCUCCGUUGGUGAACCAGCGGAGGGAUCAUUAUCGAGUUAUUCAACUCCCAAACCCUAUGUGAACUUACCACUUGUUGCUUCGGCGCGCGCUUCGGCGCCGCCGAGGACACUUAAACUCUUUGUUUUUAUAAGCAUUUCUGAGUGGCCGAAAGGCAAAAAUACAAAUGAAUCAAAACUUUCAACAACGGAUCUCUUGGUUCUGGCAUCGAUGAAGAACGCAGCGAAAUGCGAUAAGUAAUGUGAAUUGCAGAAUUCAGUGAAUCAUCGAAUCUUUGAACGCACAUUGCGCCCGCCAGCAUUCUGGCGGGCAUGCCUGUUCGAGCGUCAUUUCAACCCUCGAGCCCGACUCUUUUGAGGACGGCUCGGCGUUGGGGGACGGCAGACUCCCCCCGGCAUCUCGCCGGGGACGCCGCCCCCGAAAUCUAGUGGCGGCCCUCCGAGGCGACCUCUGCGUAGUAACUUGUUCUCGCACCGGAAAGCUCAGAGCGGCCACGCCGUAAAACCCCAACUUUUUUCAGGUUGACCUCGAAUCAGGUAGGACUACCCGCUGAACUUAAGCAUAUCAAUAAGC
RNAcentral lists this ribosomal RNA (579 nucleotides) under uncultured eukaryote. RNAcentral describes it as "eukaryotic LSU rRNA". The stretch from base 182 to 335 matches the Rfam family "5.8S ribosomal RNA". RNAcentral also lists the same sequence under 1 other name. The record is from RNAcentral.